This 440-nucleotide ribosomal RNA is filed under the name uncultured bacterium. Its description in RNAcentral is "bacterial SSU rRNA". It matches the Rfam family "Bacterial small subunit ribosomal RNA", at positions 338 to 795 of the family's 1533-position model. The record is from RNAcentral.
CCUACGGGUGGCAGCAGUGGGGAAUAUUGGACAAUGGGCGAAAGCCUGAUCCAGCAAUGCCGCGUGUGUGAUGAAGGCCUUAGGGUUGUAAAGCACUUUCGCCGAUGACGAUGAUGACGGUAGUCGGAUAAGAAGCCCCGGCUAACUCCGUGCCAGCAGCCGCGGUAAUACGGAGGGGGCGAGCGUUGUUCGGAAUUACUGGGCGUAAAGGGCGCGUAGGCGGCCAUGUCAGUUGGGAGUGAAAGCCCCGGGCUCAACCUGGGAACUGCUCUCAAUACUGCGUGGCUUGAGAACGGGAGAGGGUAGUGGAAUUCCCAGUGUAGAGGUGAAAUUCGUAGAUAUUGGGAAGAACACCAGUGGCGAAGGCGGCUGCCUGGCCCGUUUCUGACGCUGAGGCGCGAAAGCGUGGGGAGCAAACAGGAUUAGAUACCCUUGUAGUC